RNAcentral lists this ribosomal RNA (471 nucleotides) under uncultured bacterium. RNAcentral's name for it is "bacterial SSU rRNA". It matches the Rfam family "Bacterial small subunit ribosomal RNA", at positions 355 to 825 of the family's 1533-position model. The record is from RNAcentral.
UCGGGAAUUUUUCUCAAUGGGGGAAACCCUGAAGGAGCGACGCCGCGUGGGGGAUGAAUGGCUUCGGCCCGUAAACCCCUGUCAUUUGCGAUCAAACCUUACGACCUAACACGUCGUAAGCUGAUAGUAGCGGAAGAGGAAGGGACGGCUAACUCUGUGCCAGCAGCCGCGGUAAUACAGAGGUCCCAAGCGUUGUUCGGAUUCACUGGGCGUAAAGGGUGCGUAGGCGGUCGGGUAAGUCUGACGUGAAAUCUUCGAGCCUAACUCGGAAACUGCGUCGGAUACUAUUCGGCUAGAGGAAUGGAGGGGAGACUGGAAUACUUGGUGUAGCAGUGAAAUGCGUAGAUAUCAAGUGGAACACCAGUGGCGAAGGCGAGUCUCUGGACAUUUCCUGACGCUGAGGCACGAAAGCCAGGGGAGCAAACGGGAUUAGAUACCCCCGUAGUCCCUGAGCGGGCUGGCAAGGCGCAU